CUGAACUCACCUGUCACCCCUUCUAUGAGAGGGGGUAAAAGGAAGAUAGAAGAAGAUGCUGUUCUGGAUGAGCCCCAGUGCUGGAUAGAAACAAUCCUGAAAGACCUUCCAGAUAAUGAUUCACAGGAUCCCACCUAUGAGCCCUCCAAAUCAGAAUCUGACAGUGAGGAGUAUAAGUCGCAGAAUGACACCGAGGGUGACCUGGAAUACGAGGAGAAGAAUGGUUUGGUGAUGCUGAAGGAAGACCCAAUUUCACCGCAGGGCCAAAAUGGAGAGGGCACUGCAGCAGAAACACCCCAAACAGCAGAUGCUAGAGAAGAACUAGUGGCAUCAGAAACGUCUGGAGAUGACGCCAAACUUCCAGAGUACUGUCUUCUGGCAAGCAGUGGCACUUGCUCCCGAAAGAGCUUAGGAAGUACAGAAAUCACAGCCACAUCCAUCCAAGGCUGUGGCACAGUUGAUAACAAUGACUCUCAAGAUGUUUGGACAGAAGCCAGUUGCCCCGGUAAGGAUUUUCUCUUUGCUUGCUAUAAUCAAAGACCCCCUUCAUCUGUGGAGACCUCAUGGAGUGACUCUGACCCAGUCACUAUUUCUCAGCUCAUAGCAAUAGUGGUCUUGGCUACCAGUUCAGCCCAGUACAGCCAAACUACUGUUUCGGCAGAACAGUAG
RNAcentral lists this long non-coding RNA (669 nucleotides) under Laticauda laticaudata (blue-ringed sea krait). RNAcentral's name for it is "lncRNA (ENSLLTG00000008607.1)". The record is from RNAcentral. Lineage: Eukaryota; Metazoa; Chordata; Lepidosauria; Squamata; Elapidae.